Molecule: ribosomal RNA, 214 nt
Filed under: Enterobacter asburiae
Lineage: Bacteria; Pseudomonadati; Pseudomonadota; Gammaproteobacteria; Enterobacterales; Enterobacteriaceae
Description: partial 16S ribosomal RNA
Rfam family: Bacterial small subunit ribosomal RNA
Source: RNAcentral
AAAUUGAAGAGUUUGAUCAUGGCUCAGAUUGAACGCUGGCGGCAGGCCUAACACAUGCAAGUCGAGCGGCAGCGGAAAGUAGCUUGCUACUUUGCCGGCGAGCGGCGGACGGGUGAGUAAUGUCUGGGAAACUGCCUGAUGGAGGGGGAUAACUACUGGAAACGGUAGCUAAUACCGCAUAACGUCGCAAGACCAAAGAGGGGGACCUUCGGGC